CCGGGCUUGGCGGAACUGGUAGACGCGCUAGACUUAGAAUCUAGUGGGCGACCGUGGGGGUUCGAGUCCCUUAGCCCGGACCA
Molecule: transfer RNA, 83 nt
Filed under: Erysipelotrichaceae bacterium
Lineage: Bacteria; Bacillati; Bacillota; Erysipelotrichia; Erysipelotrichales; Erysipelotrichaceae
Description: tRNA-Leu
Rfam family: tRNA
About the family: Transfer RNA (tRNA) molecules are approximately 80 nucleotides in length. Their secondary structure includes four short double-helical elements and three loops (D, anti-codon, and T loops).
Source: RNAcentral